AGUUCCCCCUGCGUCGGGAGCGCGCAUUACAGCCAGAGAGGCGGAUCUGACCAUUUUCACGGCUCCACUCAGUGGCGCAAAAGGUGGCUAUGCAGUGUAUGCAACGCAUAGGGGCGCUGCACUAGAGGGGGCGCAAAAACCACGUGGGGAAUUUUUUUUCUAGUCAGCAUUUUAUGUACUUAACAGCUGUUUGUGUAUGAAAUGAUCAAUAACAGAGGAACAGCACUGAUUAGGCGCCCCCCUCCCUGCCAGCCGAUCUCCCCUCCCAUACAGGUAGCUUGGGCAGCGGCCCUUCGACAACGCACUAAGGCGCGUUUUUGUUCUUUUAAAUUUCAAAUGUGGUACUGCACA
This is a long non-coding RNA of Xiphophorus hellerii (green swordtail), 351 nucleotides long. RefSeq lists it as uncharacterized. The record is from RefSeq and is a predicted model, not a curated record. NCBI's taxonomy places the organism in Eukaryota, Metazoa, Chordata, Actinopteri, Cyprinodontiformes, Poeciliidae. The transcript has 3 exons.